Molecule: ribosomal RNA, 449 nt
Filed under: uncultured bacterium
Lineage: Bacteria
Description: partial 16S ribosomal RNA
Rfam family: Bacterial small subunit ribosomal RNA
Source: RNAcentral
AACGAACGCUGGCGGCAUGCCUAACACAUGCAAGUCGAACGAGAUCUUCGGGUCUAGUGGCGCACGGGAGCGUAACGCGUGGGAAUCUGCCCUUUGGUUCGGAAUAACAGUUGGAAACGACUGCUAAUACCGGAUGAUGACGAAAGUCCAAAGAUUUAUCGCCAGAGGAGGAGCCCGCGUAGGAUUAGCUAGUUGGUGUGGUAAAGGCGCACCAAGGCGACGAGCCUUAGCUGGUCUGAGAGGAUGAUCAGCCACACUGGGACUGGGACACGGCGCGAACUCCUACUGGAGGCAGCAGUGGGGAAUAUUGGACAAUGGGCGAAAGCCUGAUCCAGCAAUGCCGCGUGAGUGAUGAGGGCCUUAGGGUUGUAAAGCUCUUUUACCCGGGAUGAUAAUGACAGUACCGGGAGAAUAAGCUCCGGCUAACUCCGUGCCAGCAGCCGCGGUAA